UCGGACUGCCCCGGUCCCCGCUGGAGGUAGAGAUAUGGCGACCGGCGCCCGCGCCCCGGCCGGACCCUCCCCGCUGAUGGCGCCGCCGCUGCUGCUGCUGCUGCUGCUGCUGGCGCCGAGGGCGGCCGCAGAGAGCGACCCGCUGGCGGUCGACAGGCAGGAGUUUCAGACUCAACAAGAGGAACACCGCAGUCAUAUGAAGUUCGAGCGAGGAAGUGGUGUACGGAGUACAACCAGCGCACCUGAGGCCCGGAGCG
Long non-coding RNA from Pollicipes pollicipes, 257 nucleotides. RefSeq lists it as uncharacterized. NCBI's taxonomy places the organism in Eukaryota, Metazoa, Arthropoda, Thecostraca, Pollicipedomorpha, Pollicipedidae. The record is from RefSeq and is a predicted model, not a curated record. The transcript is spliced from 3 exons.